GAUGAACGCUGGCGGCGUGCCUAAUACAUGCAAGUAGAACGCUGGCGUAGGAGCUUGCUCUUCUGGAUGAGGUGCGAACGGGUGAGUAACGCGUAGGUAACCUGUCUCGUAGCGGGGGAGAACUAUUGGAAACGAUAGCUAAUACCGCCUGACAACAGUUAUUGCAUGAUAACCGUUUAAAAGGGGCAACUGCUCCACUACCAGAUGGACCUGCGUCGUAUUAUCUAGUGGGUGAGGUAACGGCUCACCAAGGAGACGAUACAUAAACGACCUGCGAGGGGGCGAGGCCACCCUGGGAUUGGAGGCUGGCCCACGAUCCUACGGGAGGGAGCAGUAGGGGAAUCUUGGGGAUAGACGGAAGUCUGAACGAGCCACGCCGCGGGAGUGCAGGAGGUUUUCGGAUCGUAAAGCUCUGGUGUAAGAGAAGAACGAGUAUGGGAGUGAACAGUUCACACUGUGACGGUAUCUUAACAGAAAGCGACGGCUAACUACGUG
RNAcentral lists this ribosomal RNA (495 nucleotides) under uncultured bacterium. Its description in RNAcentral is "partial 16S ribosomal RNA". It matches the Rfam family "Bacterial small subunit ribosomal RNA", at positions 28 to 507 of the family's 1533-position model. The record is from RNAcentral.